UUAACUGAAACCAAACAAGAGGUAAAUCACUGUUAAUGAUUCCAUUGAAGAAAAUUCCGGUUAAC
RNAcentral lists this transfer RNA (65 nucleotides) under Cucujoidea sp. 34 KM-2017. RNAcentral's name for it is "tRNA-Asn". Lineage: Eukaryota; Metazoa; Arthropoda; Insecta; Coleoptera. The record is from RNAcentral.